RNAcentral lists this ribosomal RNA (274 nucleotides) under uncultured bacterium. RNAcentral describes it as "partial 16S ribosomal RNA". It matches the Rfam family "Bacterial small subunit ribosomal RNA", at positions 523 to 796 of the family's 1533-position model. The record is from RNAcentral.
AUACGGAGGGUGCAAGCGUUAAUCGGAAUUACUGGGCGUAAAGCGUACGUAGGCGGUUAUUUAAGUCAGAUGUGAAAGCCCCGGGCUUAGCUUGGGAACUGCAUUUGAAACUGGGUAACUAGAGUUUAGUAGAGGGGAGUGGAAUUUCAGGUGUAGCGGUGAAAUGCGUAGAGAUCUGAAGGAACACCAGUGGCGAAGGCGACUCCCUGGACUAAAACUGACGCUGAGGUACGAAAGCGUGGGUAGCAAACAGGAUUAGAAACCCUAGUAGUCC